UACGAAGGGGGCUAGCGUUGUUCGGAAUCACUGGGCGUAAAGGGAGCGUAGGCGGGUUUUUAAGUUGGAUGUUUAACCCCGGGGCCCAACCCCGGAUCGGCAUCCAAAACUGGAAAUCUUGAAUAGGGGAGAGGUCAGUGGAAUUGGAGGUGUAGCGGUGGAAUGCGUAGAGAUCUCCAAGAACACCAGUUGCGAAGGCGGCUGACUGGACCCAUAUUGACGCUGAGGCUCGAAAGCAUGGGGAGCAAACAGG
Molecule: ribosomal RNA, 253 nt
Filed under: uncultured bacterium
Lineage: Bacteria
Description: partial 16S ribosomal RNA
Rfam family: Bacterial small subunit ribosomal RNA
Source: RNAcentral